This 353-nucleotide unclassified non-coding RNA is filed under the name soil metagenome. RNAcentral's name for it is "partial contains 5.8S ribosomal RNA, internal transcribed spacer 2, and large subunit ribosomal RNA". The stretch from base 1 to 120 matches the Rfam family "5.8S ribosomal RNA", at positions 35 to 154 of the family's 154-position model. The record is from RNAcentral.
GAUGAAGAACGCAGCGAAAUGCGAUAAGUAAUGUGAAUUGCAGAAUUCAGUGAAUCAUCGAAUCUUUGAACGCACAUUGCGCCCGCCAGUAUUCUGGCGGGCAUGCCUGUUCGAGCGUCAUUACAACCCUCAGGCCCCCGGGCCUGGCGUUGGGGAUCGGCGGAAGCCCCCUGCGGGCACAACGCCGUCCCCCAAAUACAGUGGCGGUCCCGCCGCAGCUUCCAUUGCGUAGUAGCUAACACCUCGCAACUGGAGAGCGGCGCGGCCACGCCGUAAAACACCCAACUUAUGAAUGUUGACCUCGAAUCAGGUAGGAAUACCCGCUGAACUUAAGCAUAUCAAUAAGCGGAGGA